GAGACCACGAGGGCCGAUCUCAGAAAUCGAAGAGGCACCUACUUUUCCAGCCUUGUCAGCACCUGUCACACGCACACUCAGCUUUGCGGAAAUUAUGGCAUUCUGUCAAAGACUUCUGGGGAAGUAGAAAACACAUGAAUCUUACUGUUCAAUCACCCACUUCCCACACGCAACAAUAGCUCAUGGGUACCAUAGAUAACUUUGCCAAAGUUCUCUGCCAAAGUUGAGCACGUGAAGCUUGCAGCUUCCACUACAUCGCUCUGACCAAGAAGGGUAAAAGAAUAGCAAAGAAACAGCACUAACAAAGUUUAGACCCAUAAAUUUUGAAGGUCUAGCUACCAUAUUAUUACCCACAAGGGUAAAGGAACAGUACCACUGCUGGAGGAUAAUUGGAAAGUCCAUGUAUGUCAACCUCUGUGCUUCGUGGCAAGGUAGACUAGCAAACAUGCCCAACCUUUACUCACAUUCGAGAAAACACUCCCAAAAGAUUGCUUGCUCCAAAAUCGAAGAGGCACCGUCCUCCGAAUCUAAAGAGCCAGACUCCCAACAUGACUACUUUCUUAAAAAUCGAAGAGAGGGUAAAGAACAGUACCAUUGCUGGAUAAUUGGAAAGUCCCUGUGUGUCAACCUCUGUGCUUCGUGGCAAGGUAGACUAGCAAACAUGCCCAACCUUUACUCACAUUCGAGAAAAACACUCCCAACAAGAUUGCUUGCUCCAAAAUCGAAGAGGCACCGCCCUCCGAAUCUCGAGAGCCACUCUCCCAACAUGAUUACUUUCUCUCAAAAAUCGAAGAGACACUGCUCCCCGAAUCUCGAGAGUCAGACCCCCAGCAUGAUUGCUUUCUCAAAAAUCGGUGAGGCACCGUUCUCCGAAUCAAUCGAAGAGGCGCUCGCUUUUCUCAAAAGCUGGGCUGCUCAGAGACCACGAGGGCCGAUCUCAGAAAUCGAAGAGGCACCUACUUUUCUAGCCUUGUCAGCACCUGUCACACGCACACUCAGCUUUGCAGAAAUUAUGGGCAUUCUGUCGAAGACUUUCUGGUGAAGUAGAAAGCACAUGAUGAAUCUUACUGUUCAAUCACCCACUUCCCACACGCAACAAUAACUCAUGGGUACCACAGAUCACUUUGCCAAAGUUCUCUGCCAAAGUUGAGCACGUGAAGCUUACAGCUCCCACUACAUCGCUCUGACCAGAAAGGUAAAAGAAUAGCAAAGAAACAGCACUAACAAAGUUUAGACACAUAAAUUUUGAAGGUCUAGCUACCAUAUUAUUACCCACAGGGUAAAGGAACAGUACCACUGCUGGAUAAUUGGAA
RNAcentral lists this long non-coding RNA (1313 nucleotides) under Malus domestica (apple). RNAcentral describes it as "long non-coding RNA (MDOM_LNC006617)". Lineage: Eukaryota; Viridiplantae; Streptophyta; Magnoliopsida; Rosales; Rosaceae. The record is from RNAcentral.